GGGGGAGCCCCGGAGAUGGGCUCUGAGACACGAGCCCAGACCUUACGGAGUGCAGCAGUUGCGAAACCUUCACAAUGUGGGAAACCACGAUGAGGGAACUCCCAAGUGCCAGCACCCAGUGCUGGCUUUUCACCUGUGUAAAGAGCAGGUGGAAUAAGGGCCGGGUAAGACGGGUGCCAGCCGCCGCGGUAACACCCGCGGCCCGAGUGGUGACCAUUUUUAUUGAGCUUAAAGCGUCCGUAGCCGGUCUGGUAAAUCUCUGGGUAAAUCGGACGGCUUAACCGUUCGAAUUCCAGAGAAACUGCUAGACUUGGGGCCGGGAGAAGCUAGAGGUACUCCAGGGGUAGAAGUAAAAUUCUGUAAUCCUUGGAGGACCACCAGUGGCGAAAGCGUCUAGCUAGAACGGACCCGACGGUGAGGGACGAAGCCCUGGGGCGCGAACCGGAUUAGAUACCCGGGUAGUCCAGGGUGUAAACGAUGUGGGCUAGGUGUCGGAAGUCCUACGCGGGCAUCCGGUGCCGUAGAUAAAUUGUUAAGCCCUCCGCUUGGGAAGAACGUGCGCAAGCAU
Molecule: ribosomal RNA, 568 nt
Filed under: uncultured euryarchaeote
Lineage: Archaea; Methanobacteriati; Methanobacteriota
Description: bacterial SSU rRNA
Rfam family: Archaeal small subunit ribosomal RNA
Source: RNAcentral